UACGUAGGUGGCAAGCGUUGUCCGGAUUUAUUGGGUUUAAAGGGUGCGUAGGUGGUCUAUUAAGUCAGUGCUGAAAUAUCCCGGCUUAACCGGGAGGGUGGCAUUGAUACUGAUGGACUUGAGUAAAGUUGAGGUGGGCGGAAUUGACGGUGUAGCGGUGAAAUGCUUAGAUAUCGUCAAGAACACCUAUUGCGAAGGCAGCUCACUAAGCUUUAACUGACACUGAGGCACGAAAGUGUGGGGAUAAACAGG
RNAcentral lists this ribosomal RNA (252 nucleotides) under uncultured bacterium. Its description in RNAcentral is "partial 16S ribosomal RNA". It matches the Rfam family "Bacterial small subunit ribosomal RNA", at positions 524 to 776 of the family's 1533-position model. The record is from RNAcentral.